ACACGUAGGGGCCUGACGUUGUUCGGAAUCAUUGGGCGUAAAGGGCGCGCAGGCGGCCGUCCAAGUCCGGUGUUAAAUGGUCGGGCUCAACCCGAUCAUGCGCUGGAAACUGGGCGGCUUGAGUCCCGUAGGGGAUGCCGGAAUUCCAGGUGUAGGGGUGAAAUCUGUAGAUAUCUGGAAGAACACCGAUGGCGAAGGCAGGCGUCUGGCCGGAGACUGACGCUGAGGCGCGAAGGCGCGGGGAGCGAACAGGUUUAGAUACCCUGGUAGUCCGCGCAGUAAACGAUGCGCACCAGGUGUCGGGCGGCAGCGCCCGGUACCGGAGCUAACGCGAUGAGUGCGCCGCCUGGGGAGUAUGCCCGCAAGGGUGAAACUCAAAGGAAUUGACGGGG
RNAcentral lists this ribosomal RNA (392 nucleotides) under uncultured bacterium. RNAcentral describes it as "partial 16S ribosomal RNA". It matches the Rfam family "Bacterial small subunit ribosomal RNA", at positions 523 to 918 of the family's 1533-position model. The record is from RNAcentral.